GUUCUGGUGGAGCCAACCUUGAAAUACCACCCUGGUUUGUUUGAGGUUCUAACCACGGCCCGUGAAUCCGGGUCUGGGACCGUGCAUGGUAGGCAGUUUGACUGGGGCGGUCUCCUCCUAAAGUGUAACGGAGGAGUACGAAGGUACGCUAGGUACGGUCGGACAUCGUGCUAAUAGUGCAAUGGCAAAAGCGUGCUUGACUGCGAGACCCACACGUCGAGCAGGUACGAAAGUAGGUCAUAGUGAUCCGGUGGUUCUGUAUGGAAGGGCCAUCGCUCAACGGAUAAAAGGUACUCUGGGGAUAACAGGCUAAUACCGCCCAAGAGUUCAUAUCGACGGCGGUGUUUGGCACCUCGAUGUCGGCUCAUCACAUCCUGGGGCUGUAGUCGGUCCCAAGGGUAUGGCUGUUCGCCAUUUAAAAGUGGUACGUGAGCUGGGUUUAAAAACGUCGUGAGACAGUUUGGUCCCUAUCUGCCGUGGGCG
Molecule: ribosomal RNA, 483 nt
Filed under: uncultured bacterium
Lineage: Bacteria
Description: bacterial LSU rRNA
Rfam family: Bacterial large subunit ribosomal RNA
Source: RNAcentral